This 519-nucleotide ribosomal RNA is filed under the name uncultured microorganism. RNAcentral describes it as "bacterial SSU rRNA". It matches the Rfam family "Bacterial small subunit ribosomal RNA", at positions 9 to 523 of the family's 1533-position model. The record is from RNAcentral.
GAGUUUGAUCGUGGCUCAGAUUGAACGCUGGCGGCAGGCCUAACACAUGCAAGUCGAGCGGAUGAAGGGAGCUUGCUCCUGGAUUCAGCGGCGGACGGGUGAGUAAUGCCUAGGAAUCUGCCUGGUAGUGGGGGAUAACGUCCGGAAACGGGCGCUAAUACCGCAUACGUCCUGAGGGAGAAAGUGGGGGAUCUUCGGACCUCACGCUAUCAGAUGAGCCUAGGUCGGAUUAGCUAGUUGGUGGGGUAAAGGCCUACCAAGGCGACGAUCCGUAACUGGUCUGAGAGGAUGAUCAGUCACACUGGAACUGAGACACGGUCCAGACUCCUACGGGAGGCAGCAGUGGGGAAUAUUGGACAAUGGGCGAAAGCCUGAUCCAGCCAUGCCGCGUGUGUGAGAAGGUCUUCGGAUUGUAAAGCACUUUAAGUUGGGAGGAAGGGCGAGUAAGUUAAUACCUUGCUGUUUUGACGUUACCAACAGAAUAAGCACCGGCUAACUUCGUGCCAGCCGCCGCAGUAA